This is a long non-coding RNA of Mesocricetus auratus (golden hamster), 1048 nucleotides long. RefSeq lists it as uncharacterized. The record is from RefSeq and is a predicted model, not a curated record. NCBI's taxonomy places the organism in Eukaryota, Metazoa, Chordata, Mammalia, Rodentia, Cricetidae. The transcript is spliced from 4 exons.
CACUGUGCCCCCAUCCACUUUCCCCCAAUAAAAACCCCUUCCACCCAAGCUCUGUUGAAUGGCAUCUUUCUCUCAUGUGCUGCUUUUUAAAAUUACAACAGUCUGAGGAGACAGUGAGACAGGAACCAACAUCAGGGACAAAGCUGACCACCCGACUAGAAGGGACUGCCCUGGAAAAGCCUGCUGUCUGGAGAACAAAGCAAAUCUUGAAUCAAGACACUUCUCAGACACCGUGGUGGAAAUAUCAGGUGAGCAGGUUUCAGCAAAGAGGAGAGACGUCCCCUGGGGCCUCAGAGUCUACCUGAUGACCUUCUUAGCUUUCAGUUUUCUUUACAGAGAAGCCACAUUCCCUGAGUGGCUCUUUGGUACCAUCAAUCCUGGAGUUUUCCCAGUGACCCCAGGACUACCUAGGGCUGCCUAAAGGUGAAGCGGUGGUUACGUGGUAAAAUCGUCUGGAGAGCUCUCAGCGCGGGGGCAGGCAAUAGCGGGUGCUGAAGAAAGGCAGCCAGGCAGCAAGAGAGAUUGACUCAGUGGGUGAAGACUGAUGACGACCCGAGUUACUGCCCCGCAACUCCCUCAAGCUGUCCCCUGGCCUCGACGUGAGCACUGUGGCAUGUGUGAGCCUCUACCCUCAAAGGCUACGUUAAUGUUAUAAAAAAAAUAGUCAAUGUUAUUAACCUUGGUUGGGAGAUUCCUAAUGUAGCUCUGGGAAGUCCUAGAGGCUUGUAUAAAUCACACACACACAAAUAUUUUUUUUAAAAUCACAGCUCCUAUCCAUUUUUCUUCUGUCAUUUUCUUCUAAAAAAAACUUUUGUCACUAAUUUGUGGGUGAUGUAUGUGCACUUUAUUUUCUUUCUUUUAUUUUUUUAUUUUAUCUUACUUUCUUGAGACUAGGUCUCGUGUACCCUAGGCUGACCUGGGACCCACGAUGGGGCUGAGGAUAACCUUAAACUUCUGGUCUUCCUACCUCUGUCUCCCAAGUGCUGAGAAGGAAGUGACUACAUGCUCAGCUAGGCUUAAUUCUCACCAAUAAAGUAUCUUAUACGCA